This is a long non-coding RNA of Bombus huntii, 1590 nucleotides long. RefSeq lists it as uncharacterized. The transcript has 6 exons. Lineage: Eukaryota; Metazoa; Arthropoda; Insecta; Hymenoptera; Apidae. The record is from RefSeq and is a predicted model, not a curated record.
GGGAGCAUUAAGAUAUAGACGACCACGACGUAAUGCAUUAAUGAAAGUACAAAUGCCAGUGAUUAAGAACGCCGAAUGCAAAAUAGCUUAUUCCAAAUUUCCUAAUGCACCUGAUAUCACUGAUGGUAUAAUAUGUGCCGAACAUGCUCAGGGUGGAGAGGAUUCUUGUACGGCUGACCGCGGCGGACCACUGCUGAUACAACAUGAAUUAACCUCGUAUUUAAUAGGUAUUGUGUCUUAUGCUUAUAAGUGCGGCACAGCUGGGUAUCCCAGCAUUUACACUAGGGUCACAUCGUACCUUGACUUCAUUCUCCAAGCGAUGCAAUAAUAUGAUAUUACUGUUCCAUAAAUAUCAUUGUGUAAAAAACGUAAAGUUGGAUUUUCUUAUUGUGGAGAUAAGAAACAGCUCAAAUUUACAUUGUUUUGUACGUUACAAAUUAUAGGCUUAAAAUGUACGAAAUGUAACUUUGAAACGACACUAAUUUUUUACGCACGAUAAACCUCCACGACUUAGAUUAUAGAUUCCUAUACGACUCUCAGUAAAAAUUUAUCCGCACUCCAGAUAGUUAAAACUUCUGUCGACCGUAUUGAUCCAUCUGCACUCUUCGUAUGACGUCAAUAUCUGUUCAGUGCUGCUGCGCAGGUUUCUUUGUGUUACGUCAAUUCGUUUGUGACCGUUGCGCGAGUAAUGGCGCUUUGCAAUGGUGAUUUGCAGGAAAACAGUGCAGGAUGCUGUGAUUCGUUUCUUGUGGUCGGAGGUUAUGUUUGAUGCCUAUAUUUAUCAAAGAUUUAAUGCACAUUAUGGAGAAAGUGUUUUGUCACGAAGUGUGUUUGAAUGGGCACAAAAGUUCAAAGAAGAUCGCACGAGUGUUAUGAAAAAACAGCUGGACGCCCGUCCACAUCCACGAUGACAACAUUGAACGUGCUCAUGAACUUAUGCUCUAUGGAAUAGACGAGUGACACUGGAUAAUGUGGCAAAUCAUUUGCAAAUCAGCCACGGCUCUGCUUAUGCAAUAGUGCACGACAGAUUUGGAUUUUAAAAAGUUUGUGCGAGAUGGAUGCCGAAAAAGCUGAUGAAAAGGUGAAGACGACGAUGCAUUCGUGGUUCGCAGCUCAGCCCAAAACAUUUUUUAAUGAGAAAAUACAAAGGUCCUUCGGCAAAUGGACAAAGUGUAUACAGAAAUCGAGUGAUUAUGUCAAAAAAUGAUGUAUGUCUUUUUUGACAAUUGCUUAAAAUAAAUUCUACACCGACAGAGCGGGCUGUUAAUCUAGAGGCUGGAGUACAAAGAAGUGGCACAAUGAUGUGGGCUGAUGACAUUUAUAAUUAUCAAGGAAUCACCCCUACAUUCGCUCAGAAUUUUAAUGAAACUGUCCCUUGGGAAGGAAGAACUGAUACCUUGAUAUCACGGUUUGUACAUCCUAUAUAUACGACAAAUUUUAGAACAUUAUAUAACGAAGAACCAGAUCGUCGUGGCCAUGUGAUGUGAAUAAAAGGACUUGAAUUUGAUGAUAUUUUUAUAAUGUUAGAUAACAUAACUAAGUAUCUUCACAGUAAGAUAGGAUGACAUGGUUUACAUGAUCUUAAUGUUG